This 587-nucleotide ribosomal RNA is filed under the name Neofusicoccum eucalypti. RNAcentral's name for it is "eukaryotic LSU rRNA". It matches the Rfam family "Eukaryotic large subunit ribosomal RNA", at positions 65 to 667 of the family's 3401-position model. Lineage: Eukaryota; Fungi; Ascomycota; Dothideomycetes; Botryosphaeriales; Botryosphaeriaceae. The record is from RNAcentral.
CCAACAGGGAUUGCCUUAGUAACGGCGAGUGAAGCGGCAAUAGCUCAAAUUUGAAAGCUGGCCCCUUCGGGGUCCGCGUUGUAAUUUGUAGAGGAUGGUUCGGCGAGGGCUCCCGUCUAAGUCCCUUGGAACAGGGCGUCAUAGAGGGUGAGAAUCCCGUAUGUGAUGGGCUGCCUUAGCCAUGUGAACCUCCUUCGACGAGUCGAGUUGUUUGGGAAUGCAGCUCUAAAUGGGAGGUAAAUUUCUUCUAAAGCUAAAUACCGGCCAGAGACCGAUAGCGCACAAGUAGAGUGAUCGAAAGAUGAAAAGCACUUUGGAAAGAGAGUUAAAAAGUACGUGAAAUUGUUGAAAGGGAAGCGCUUGCAGCCAGACUUGUCCGCAGUUGCUCAGCCUGUCUCCUGACAGGCGCACUCUUCUGCGGCCAGGCCAGCAUCAGUUCGGGCGGUCGGAUAAAGACCCGGGGAAUGUAGCUCCUCUCGGGGAGUGUUAUAGCCCUGGGUGCAAUGCGGCCAGCCUGGACUGAGGAUCUCGCUUCGGCUAGGAUGCUGGCGUAAUGGCUGUAAGCGGCCCGUCUUGAAACACGGACC